Molecule: long non-coding RNA, 1335 nt
Filed under: Manduca sexta (tobacco hornworm)
Lineage: Eukaryota; Metazoa; Arthropoda; Insecta; Lepidoptera; Sphingidae
Description: uncharacterized LOC119189023
Source: RNAcentral
GCGCACUGUACCUUGGCUUGACAAAACAAACGUCAAAUCGUAUGACGUAUCACUGAGUGUUUAUGAAUAUAAUAUACUUUUGUUCCAAAUGCCUCAAUGCAGUGCGUUAAAUUGUAAAAACAGAGGAAUACAUUUAUUUCCAAAGGAAAGUAAACGUAGAAAGCAAUGGGAAUCUGCGUUACGUAUAAAAAAACUUCGAAGCUAGUAGCACAGCACGAUUGUGUGUUGCGCAUUUUACAGAAAAAAGAUUAUUACGGGAAAAUCAAUUAUACAGGUUAUGAGCUCCUUGCAAAAUUUCUUAAAAAGACAGCUGUGCUAUCUGUGUUCUUCUUAACGAAGAUAAAACCAGAAAAUCCAGCUGCUGUGGCACAUCAACAACGUAUUGAACGAAGAAGUCAGUCGAGUAACAAAUGUAGAUAAUUCACAACCAUCAAGUAGCAAAGUUAACCUAAUAAGUGACAGAGACAAUUUACUGGAAGUUGAUCAUGAAGAAGCAGUCAAAACAGAAGACAACAGUGCAGUAGGAUGUACAUAUAUUAUGCAUGAAUUUAUAUCUAAGGGCACUCAAGUUGAUCAAGAACACAAAUAUGGGUUUAUGAAUAGAUAUAAAGAUGAUAAUGCCACUAUUAAGUUUUACACAGGUUUUGAAUCAUAUAAAAAAUUUAAUUUAGUCUACUCAGCUCUUAGUCCAGUGGUUCACAAAAUAAAAUAUUAUGGCAGCAAUGUGAUUAUUCUUAGCAGUGAUUCUAAUUCUAAUUUAUUAGUUGGUGCAAUACCUGGUAGCUUGCUGUUAUAUUGUUCCCAAGCAUUUGCAGGAUUGAUAAGUGAUCAGUAGGCAGUGGAACAAAGUGACCUUUUAGCAAAAUGUGAAAGUGGUAGUAGUAUACUGACUGACAGAGGAUUUAUGAUACAAUAUAUAUUUCAUCAGACAAAAAUGUGACCAUUAGGAUUCCCAGUUUCUUAAAAGAAAAAUUUCAGUUGCCUGGUCUUAAUGUAAUAAAAGAUAGGGAGCUUGCAAACAAAGGAGUUCAUAUAGAAAGAAUAAUAGGAUUAACAAAGACAAACAAAAUUUUAAAAAUGAAUUAGACCAUAACUAUAUCCCAAUAGUGAGCAAAAUCUUUUUUUAUGUUUUAUGUGCUAAACAUCUACAAUUUCAGGAAUUAUACUAUUACUAUAUUGUGAAAGAUAUUAGAUAAAAAGAUGUAAUUAUUUCAAUUUAUUUAUUAAUUGUAAAUAGUUCUUAUACACAUACUUAUUUACAUUUCUGGUUCUAAAUUAUGUACAUAAAAGUUUAACAAAUUUGUCAACAUGCCAUUAAUAAAUGAGUCAUCUCUA